GAGAAUUUAAUUCCUAGCUGAAUUGGUUCGAACGCGUUUCUGGGACUUUUACCCUCUGUUUUGUCUUCUAACGCUGGGUGAAGAAACUGUGCAACAUGCCCAGAUCAUACAACAAGGAAGUAAUGGAAUUGAGAUUCUAUCCUGGGCGCCAAGCCAUUGCUCUAAAUCUCUAUGCUGCACAAGAUACAGCUGAGUAAAGAUUAGUAACAACAAAAAAAAACAACAAAAAAAGACAAGUCCCAGGGAAGGUUCCUGUGAGUCUUUAUGAUCCACUGGCCAUAAAUUAGAGAGAGGCAAUGAAGACUAAAUGCGGAGAGAUCCAGUUUGCUUCCUAGUCUUAGUACAUUGCCAUCUAGGCAUGAGUAGUCUCCUUGUCUCCGUUGUCUGAGAAUGCUAUCCUCUGGCUCUGAGGUCCAGAGCCACUAAGAGAGAAUGCUGACUUGAUGUCAGAAAAUCAAGACAAGGUCUAGUUUAAUUAUGGAACAUGAAACAAAAACUUUACUCCUCUUUUGAAGUAAAAAUGCAAAUCUGUUCCGUUUUAGAGUGGGAUUUCCCUCCUUUGUUAUAUGGCUUUUAAAUUACUCAUGUUCUUUACAAAUCAAAUAAAUAAAAGAUAAAAAGAAAAAUAAAUAUGCCAGUAGAUAUUCAUGUUUUCUUUGGGCCACUGUAAAUGGUUUAAGGGCAAAUCAACAAAUUUCAUUUGUUUAGGUUUUUUUUUGAGACGAGUCUCGUUCUUUUGCCCAGGCUGGAGUGCAGUGACGCGAUCUCGGCUCACUGCAAGCUCCGCCUCCGGGUUCACGCCGUUCUCCUUCCUCAGCCUCCGGAGUAGCUGGGAUUACAGGCGCAUGUCACCAUGCCCGGCUAAUUUUUGUAUUUUUAGUAGAGACGGGGUUUCACUGUGUUAGCCAGGAUGGUCUCGAUCUCCUGACCUCAUGAUCCGCCUGCCUCGGCCUCCCAAAGUGCUGGGAUUACAGAUGUAAGCCACUGGGCCAGGCCCCUCAUUUGUUUAGUUUUAUAAAAUUAACUCUUAAAUUCUGGGAUUGGUCAGAGUGACAGAAUGAAGAGAUAUUGGAGUAUAUCACUGUUGGGGCACUCUGUGGAAUAGAGAAGAUUGCUAUUUGGGCCGAGCGUGGUGGGUCAUGGCUGUAAUCCCAGCACUUUGGGAGAUCGAGGUAGGAGGAUCACUUGAGCCCAGGAAU
This 1199-nucleotide long non-coding RNA is filed under the name Homo sapiens (human). RNAcentral's name for it is "HSALNT0376488". The record is from RNAcentral. Lineage: Eukaryota; Metazoa; Chordata; Mammalia; Primates; Hominidae.